CUUUGACCUCCAGGUGUGUCACAGGCUUUGGUCGUCAUUGCUGUCGUACGGUCUCUUGCAUGCUGCAGCUGCAUUGUUACUGGCCUUAGGCAUCCACCUAGCAUGAGAAAUGCAGGGGAGGUCACUCAAACCCGAGAAAGAUGGGUAACUCAGGCCUGAUCCAGAGGAACACAGAAAUACGAGGGUUCUUAAGGAUUAUUCUCUGAAUCGUUGCUCUGCAUGGUUUUGUCCAGGGCCGGCCCAUAGGCAGUAUAGUCAAAUGCUAGGGGCGCCAUCCUUCUAUAGGAGGCCCCACUGGCGCCCCAAAUGAGUGAGGGAGAAAAGUUGAAGAUCAGAAGAAGAAAUAGAAUGAAAAUGCGUUUGAAAAUCUCUAAAUAUUAUUUAUAUAAUAUAAUUGUCAUGCUUUAUUUAGUAAUAUUACAGAAGAAGCCACGAAAACACAACUAGACUACAUCACAUAUUUAUAAAGGCUCUAUUUUCUUGCCUCCUGCUUGACGCGGCGCAUCACAACCCCGCUGCUCAUUACCUGCUCGUCUGCUUAUUGUGGGGGAGGAGAGCAGGUGACUCAUUAGAAGUGAGUGACACUGAUCACAUCGAUUACUAUCACGUUUAUAAACAACAUAACAAUGUAAAAAAAAAAAACAACAACAAAGCCCUCAGGAGCCCAGGGACGAUAAAGAAGAAGAAGAAGAAGAAGAGGAGAAAAAAUAUGAAAAAGACACCGAGGUACCGUGCUGCACUGAUCAAUGAUUUAUCUGUUGUAGUUAAGUUAGCUUGUUAUGGAUGGAUGAUAGUAACGUCUGUGUUUCCUAAUUCCUAAUCACAUAAUAUGCAAAAUACACUUAACCAUGAUUUUCUUACUCUAAUGUGUUCCUAGUCUGUCUACAAACCAUCAGUUAUUAGAAAAGUAAAUCCUCUUCUUUUUCCUGCUCCACAGGCGUUACUGCAGCUACGUCUUUGUUCUGCCCUCUGAGUCUGCCUUCUCACAGCAAAAAAUUGGCAUGGAGUGAGAAAGUCCACACAAAGAGCCACAUCCUCUUUCAGAGAGGGGGGCGGGGUCAGACACAGCUCAUUUACAUUUAAAGCUACAGACACAGAAACAGCCUGUUCUGAGCAGUCACUGGAUAUGCUAAUAUCCGCAGAUAUUAUCGGCGGGCUGAUUUAUCGGUCGAGCUCUGGAUGAUAGUGCAACUACAAGUGCUGCCUUUGUAUGCAACUGACAUAUAACCACAUAGUCUACGGGCUGAUCCGAACCAAUCACAGUAAAAUGUAAACAUGCUGAGUGAGAAAACAUUGUUUGUCUGCAUAAAUAAAAUGUUCUUGCGAUAAAUUAUGACUAUAGCGAUGUGAUUGUUGAAAAUCCUUUCAUUGGGAUAACGAUGUAACUGCACUUGCCCUAUAGCCUACCUGACCUAUGUUCUAAUUUUGUUUUAAUUUUGUUAUUUUUUUAAGGAGGAUAAUUAUGAUUCCAACGAGGUGGAGAACCUACACAAGAAAUACGACUGCAGACUUUCACUUUCAGUCUUUGAGAAGGUGUCUUUUAUGAAAAACCCAUUUUAAGAUAUACAAGUGUACAACGGAGGAUUAGGGCCCCGUUAAAAAAAAAAAAAAAAACAUUUCGAGAUUAAACUUGUUUGGUUUUUUUAACGUGGCCCUAAUCUUCUGUCGUACAAGUGUAUAAGAUUUAAACAAAUAUCUGAAACUUUUAGUUUACAGCCCUUAUUUAAGACGGAGAUAAUGCUUUGUGGUGGUGUAUCCAUUAAUUAAGCUGUAUUGGAAUAUAUAUUUGCUGCCUCAUCCGUCUUAUAUGUUUAUCACUGAUGUUUUUCCGACUGCGUUUUAAGCUGGUUUUGGCUGUAAACAUUCUAACUGAACUGACUU
Labrus bergylta (ballan wrasse) is the source of this 1881-nucleotide non-coding RNA. The record is from RefSeq and is a predicted model, not a curated record. NCBI's taxonomy places the organism in Eukaryota, Metazoa, Chordata, Actinopteri, Labriformes, Labridae.